RNAcentral lists this ribosomal RNA (176 nucleotides) under uncultured bacterium. Its description in RNAcentral is "partial 16S ribosomal RNA". It matches the Rfam family "Bacterial small subunit ribosomal RNA", at positions 1325 to 1500 of the family's 1533-position model. The record is from RNAcentral.
GCUGGAAUCGCUAGUAAUCGCGAAUCAGAAUGUCGCGGUGAAUACGUUCCCGGGUCUUGUACACACCGCCCGUCACACCAUGGGAGUCGGAAAUGCCCGAAGUCAGUGACCCAACCGUAAGGAGGGAGCUGCCGAAGGUGGAGCCGGUAACUGGGGUGAAGUCGUAACAAGGUAAC